Molecule: long non-coding RNA, 339 nt
Filed under: Vigna radiata
Lineage: Eukaryota; Viridiplantae; Streptophyta; Magnoliopsida; Fabales; Fabaceae
Description: long non-coding RNA (VRAD_LNC001379)
Source: RNAcentral
UGGGCCAAAGUAGUGGAGGCGUGAGACGUAGAGUCGCGACCAUUCCUAAAACUUGAAAAACCUUAAACACAAAAAAAAUGGAAUAAAUUGCAACCACCAAAACACACGAAAGAUACUAUUACGAAGAAACCAAAAUUGAAAGAGCGAAUUGAGAACCAAAAUUAUUGAAGCACAUGUGAAGGGAAAAAAAGAAGAGUUAGAAAGAUUUAACCCUGGAUUAUGGAGGUGGGAGUGGGAUGAAAGAUUUGUGCCUUGCGAAAGGAAUCCUUAGAUUAGGAGAUUUGAUUUUGUGUGGUUCACAAUUGAAACAGAUAGGAAAGAAAUGAUUGUGAGAAGAAC